Molecule: ribosomal RNA, 776 nt
Filed under: uncultured Neocallimastigales
Lineage: Eukaryota; Fungi; Neocallimastigomycota; Neocallimastigomycetes; Neocallimastigales
Description: partial large subunit ribosomal RNA
Rfam family: Eukaryotic large subunit ribosomal RNA
Source: RNAcentral
AGAGAUGUGUGAUGACGCAUAUCAAUAAGCGGAGGAAAAGAAACUAACAAGGAAUUCCCUUAGUAACGGCGAGUGAAGCGGGAAGAGCUCAAAUUUGAAAUCUUCAAGGUUCUACCUUGACGAAUUGUAGUUUAUAGAAGUGUUUUCUGUUAGUAGGAGUGGCAAAAGUUCUUUGGAAUAGGACAUCAUAGAGGGUGAGAAUCCCGUAUUUGGUCAUUCUUCCUAGCGUUGUGAUACACUUUCAACGAGUCGGAUUGUUUGGGAAUGCAGUCCAAAAUGGGUGGUAAAUUUCAUCUAAAGCUAAAUAUUGGCGAGAGACCGAUAGCGAACAAGUACCGUGAGGGAAAGAUGAAAAGAACUUUGAAAAGAGAGUUAAACAGUACGUGAAAUUGUCAAAAGGAAAGCGUUUGACACCAGUGUUGUUUUUCCGAAAAUCAAUUACGAAUGUUUUAUUUUUGAGAAGUUAUGACUUCAUCGGCUUGCUUCUCUCUUUAUGAAACUUUCUUAAUGCACUUUUCGGUUAACAAGUCAACAUCAAUUUCUUUUGUUGUAAAAGGGUAUGAGGAAGGUGGCUUUCUUUUCGGAGAAAGUGUUUAUAGCCUUGUACCUCUGCAAUCGGAGAGAUUGAGGUCUGCAGCGUAGAUCCUUCGGGGUUAGAUACAUUUGUGCUAAGUUAUAGCUUUUCAUAGACAACUUGUUGACUAUGUUUAGUCUUGUAGCUUACUCGCUUAUGCUAUUUUACCUACGCUUAGGAUGUUGAUAGUCACAGCGUGUAC